UGGGGAAUUUUGGACAAUGGGCGCAAGCCUGAACCAGCCAUGCCGCGUGCAGGAAGACGGCCCUCUGGGUUGUAAACUGCUUUUAUUCGGGAAUAAACCUAUUUACGUGUAAGUAGCUGAAUGUACCGAAGGAAUAAGGAUCGGCUAACUCCGUGCCAGCAGCCGCGGUAAUACGGAGGAUCCAAGCGUUAUCCGGAUUUAUUGGGUUUAAAGGGUGCGUAGGCGGCCUAUUAAGUCAGGGGUGAAAGACGGUAGCUCAACUAUCGCAGUGCCCUUGAUACUGAUGGGCUUGAAUGGACUAGAGGUAGGCGGAAUGUGACAAGUAGCGGUGAAAUGCAUAGAUAUGUCACAGGACACCGAUUGAGAAGGCAGCUUACUAGGGUUUAAAUGACGCUGAGGCAUGAAAGCGUGGAGAUCAAGCA
RNAcentral lists this ribosomal RNA (422 nucleotides) under uncultured bacterium. RNAcentral's name for it is "bacterial SSU rRNA". It matches the Rfam family "Bacterial small subunit ribosomal RNA", at positions 355 to 774 of the family's 1533-position model. The record is from RNAcentral.